Long non-coding RNA from Pseudopipra pipra, 9066 nucleotides. RefSeq lists it as uncharacterized. The record is from RefSeq and is a predicted model, not a curated record. Lineage: Eukaryota; Metazoa; Chordata; Aves; Passeriformes; Pipridae. The transcript is spliced from 4 exons.
GAGAACCUAUGGAGUGUGACCCUCUGGCAGACAACUCUGUCCAGCCCAAGAUCAUCUACAUCUUCAUCAUUCCUUGACAGAAAACCGUUGAAACUGUUUGGAUACUGAAUGAUGGCUACAGCCCAGUCCCUUCCUCUGGAGCUGUGGUGGUGCCACAUUGCUGUAAUCCCAUUGCACUGGUCACCAGCAUAGGAUCCACUUCCCCAGGGAUGGAUCCCUGUCCUUGAGCCUUAACAGAUCAGUGAGGUAAGGAGAAGGAAAGGCCUCUGCCAUCAUCAAAGACAACUCCAGACUCUUCCGAGUCUUGUCCAAAAGCUUCAGUAAUUUACAGUUCCUUAUGGUGAGACACUUCUUCUGGUAUUAACGUCAUGAGCAUUUUAAAAUGUUAUCAGACAGUAAUUACUAUCACAACUUUUAAUUCUGUGUUUCUGUUUCAAAUUUUCCUCAGUUCUAUCAGAACCAAAAGUUAAUGCCCGUUGGCUAAUUUCCAGUGCAUGCUUCCACAGAACAACUGCUGCCUUUAACUGGUGGAGAGAUCAAGGCUUGAACUGACAAAAGACAUCUGUAUUUUGGAAAACAAAUUAAUGUUUAUGUUUUAAUUUAUAAGUUCCUGGCUCUUUUAUGGUUCCUGUUUUUCAAGUAAUGUCUCUUUGGAUCCCUAGCUGAUGGAGAGUCAAAAUGGAAAAGGCCCAUGAGAGAAUUAUCACAAUAGAACAUCUGGUCUGCAUUGGAAAAAGCUGAGAAAGAUAUUCAACAUCUCUGAGACCAAGAGGCAGCUAUGAGGCAGUUUGGAAAGUCAGUCUAUGAAAAAUCGUGCAGGUUGUGGCCACCUGGGCCAAUCUAGUGUUGUUUUGGGAAGAGCUACUCUGCUUCCUUGCAUCUGAAUUUUAAUGUCACUUCAGCACGGAUAUGUGAGAACUGGGAGUGGUAUGAAAGGUGUUUGCUUUUCAUAAUGUUAAUCUGAGUCCCAGCAUUGUCCUAAUUAUAUUGUGGGUUUUUGCCAGUCUCCUAAGUUUUCUUUUGAGCAUGUAGGCUGGAGUCAAAAGGCUUUCCCAGGGUUUUGGCAUAGCUUUAUAGGAAAAUGGAUGGAAAUUACUUUGUAUAUUUUUGGAAGAAUAUUUUGCAUCCUGCUUUAAACUGUUCCAGAAGGUGAAAGGACGUUAGCUAGACUGUGUAUUGGCUCGUGUACUGGUAUGUCACUAAUGGCAAGGAGUUUUGCUUCACCUAAUUGUUCCUGUUUUCUGCAGCCACAGACUAUGAGAAAUGCAAAGAAAUAAUGAGCCAACCAGGGCAAUAAAGGCACUACUGGAUUCAGAGGGAACAAACUCCUUCCACCACAUGAAACUUUCGUCUUUUAAGUCAUCAUAGCUCAUGCAGAACAGAAACAAUUUGACAUGUAUAACAAGAAACACUGCAAUUGUUUGCCAAACAAAGACUUAUACUGCAGAUGGAAGAACUGAUGAAAAUUGUUUAUAGAUGGGGAACUAAAUGUAGAUUUUUCAAGAACAAGGUUGCUCUCUUCCGUGCCAAGACAAACAACAAAUCUAAUAGAAGUCUCAUUUCUUUAGGCUGCCUGAGGACCCACUGGAAAAUCUAUGGACUUUUCUCCACAGAAAAUUUGUGUAUCGUCAAUAUGUAAGUGGAUUGUCCACAGUUACACUGUGGCAGCUGCAGAGGAAGUGGAAGGUUCUCAGGAAUACAUUAGGGAGAACUGGAUUUUUGGCUUCUGAUAUAGUGUGGAGCGCCUUUGGAAACUGUGGAAGUUUAUGAGCUGGAUGUUACUGCUACAAAAGGUUAUCUAUGAGUUAAACAUAAUAGUAAUUAAUCUGCUAUCUUUAGAUCCUAACACUAACAACAUGAUGAAAUUGAGAAUUCCUAUUCUGUAGAAUUGCAGUUUUCCAGGAUGCCUUCAUUCCUACGAAGAUGCCCUGAUCUGCACUUAGUUUUCAGUGUUACCUUUAGCAAUCUGUGCACAGAUGUUUUUACAAGGCACUAUGUAGUCAUCCCAAACAACUGGUUUUAAUGGGCCAGUUAUUUAGGAAAAGCAUGUAAUGAGAACAUAAAUACAAUCCCUGAUACUGACAUAAAAGCAUGUAUUAGCAGAGUAAUAUAGUUUGUAUUGCCCUGAUAGAUAGCAGACCCUGGAAAUAUAAAACUUGUCAUGUCCUUAAAAUUCUGUUAUAUCUGUAAACAUAUAUGUCUUGGAAAAGAGGGCCCACAGCAUCCGAGACUGCUUUAGGAAAAGUACUGCCAGGAGAUCAAAGGAGGUGAUUAUUCUCCUUUACUCAGCACUGGUGAGACCUCAGUGGAAGUGCUGUGCCCAGCUCUGGGCUCCCCACAAGAGGAAGGACAUGGACAUACUGGAGUGAGGGCAGGAAAGGGCCAUGAAGAUGAUUAAGAGGAGCACCUGUCAUGUGGCUGCCUUAAGGGGUUUUGAAGUUGAUGUCCUUGAAGAUACUCAAAACCCAACUGGGCGAGCUCCUGAGCAGCCUGCUCUGGGUGAUUCUGCUUUGUGUUGGACUGGUUUGGACUGGAUGAUCUCCAGAGGUGCUUCCAGACUGUGAAUAUUUGAAGCAGUUUGGUUAUGUCUUGUCAGCAUUUUAGCUGGAACUCAAUUAUUUAGGAAUCCUAAAGAGAGCAAAGGCUGUGACCCUAGAAAUCCAUCCAGAUGGCUGAGGCCCAGAAAAGGCAUAAUGAGAGCUGCUAAGUAUUUUGAAUGUCUCAUCAGAGUGAUAUUUCACUUAAAAAUACAAAUAUAGACAUGACUUGGGUCUUAAUGACACUGAAUACCCAUAAUGUUCUCUCACUUCAGCUGGACUGCAGAUGGUAACAACCUCUCUCUAUCUGAGCACGCAUAUUUUAGUUUAAUCUUGCUCUGUAAAAUCUUAUCACAUACUUUACUCUAGAAAUUAAUAUUUGGAGCUUUAUGGUGCAGAAUUUAUUUGUUGAUUUGUUCCACAAUUUCUUUCCUUACUAGUACUGAUAUUAAUAAAUUAAAAUGUAUUUUGACAUAUUCAGUAAUAAGCUCAUACUAUGUCUCAAGGAGUUGAGAAUAUCAUAAUUUGAGCAAGGUAAAAUCAAAAUAUGUAUUGCAUUGCAUAUUCUAUGGCACUUAGUUUGUAACUAUUCUUACAGCACCUUCAGAAUAAGAACAAAGAUUAAAUUCAAAAAAGACUUUAAUAGUUUUAAAACAACAAGAUUUAUGUGGAAAGGCAAAGAUAAUGUAAGAAGAUUCACCUGUGGUUUUUCAUCAUGAAAAUGCCAACAAACUAACUUGCAGUUUUGAGAAUUCCCAGAUCCUCCUCCUUUUGAAAACUCUUUGUCUUUCAUGUUGCCUCUAAGAAUAAAAAGGAAAGCACACUGGAAAACAAGAAAAUGAGAAAUGUUGCACAAGGAAUUGGGAGAUAAAUAGAUUAUAAAGCAUUUGAUUUGAUUUUGGGGUUGCACUUCAGCAAGUGAAACAGUAAGUAAAUAACCUGUUUCUUUAUCAAUACAUGGAGUCACAUUGAGACUGACAGACCAAGACAUAAAUGUAUAAAUAGCACCUCUGAUAAUUAUUAGAUGUCAAAUUUUGCUACGGAUGAGCCCAUCCCAAAACCACAAAAUUAAGACUUCAGACAAAAAUAACACAUGAAGGUCAAAUACACUUAGUCAUAAGUUGCUGUCUUCUGCCACCACUUUUCCCUGACUUAAUGCUUUUACAGCAUAUCUCCUCUGAUUCAGGCUCCUCUAUAGUCUCUGCGUGGGACUGGGGGUUUGGUGGGGACAGUAUUACUUUAAAUUGACACCUCUAGCAGCAGUUCCUACUUGUACUGUUUUCCUUUUAUAAAUGUAUAACCUAUUUCAUCUAUCAAAGCCUGACUUAGCUCCAAGUCACCCAUUUCUCAGGGAAAUUAAAUCUAAUGUCUAAUAAGCAUAGAAGCUUAUGCAACUUUCAUUCCCCGAAAAAAAAGUAUUAAAUAACAUAAUAAUAUUACCUUGUCUUUUGAUAGCUAGAGACUUGUGCACUUUGUUUUUCUGUAGACCAGAUUGGUUCUGCAUUUGGGCUUGAGGAGGCCAGGUUUAUCCAUCCCUUUUUGCAGACUUUCUGAAUGUCACCUCAAAAUUCUCCUCUUGUUAAAGGACCCCCUGAAACUUUCAUGUGUAAGGUUUGAUCCCUUUCUCCACUUCUCCCUGUGGUAGGAGCCCCCUCUGUUCCCCCACACAAGGGCUGUGUACCCCGUGGUCUUACCCUGGGGGUUCUGGCUGCUUUUUCACUCAUUCUCUCCCUCACAAGAUUUUCUCCAGCCUGACCAAAUUUCUGCCUGUUCCAUCCCAUCUUCUAUUAAUACCCACCACGGUUCUGUGUCAGUGGGUGCAACAUUUGAAAAUGCAGAAAUCUGCCUCUAAACCAUGUAGAUUAGCAACAUAAUUUCAGGGGUUUGCCUCCUGCAUGUGUCAGUUCAAUAAGUGGGUUUAUAGGGAAUAAUUUUUAACUGUUGCAGCCCUCCAAAACCGCUUCUCUCACUUCUGUAAUACAUAAAGUGACAUAAGGUCACUGAUGCUGGGGAAAUUGGUUUCCUGGUUGAUAUGCUAAUUCAGCAAGAAAUCAGUUCUUGCAGAAACCCAAAGAAAAUUAUUUUAAUAUAGUGCCAUGCUACUCUGUUGACUUUUAGGAAAGAGAUAAUUAAAAUAUUCAAGGGAGUUCCAAGUCUCUGGAGAAAAUACCAUUAUGGUGAUAUAAAGCUAUUUUUGCCUCACAGCUUAUUAGCUUCUUUCCUAAAAGCAAAUCAGUUGAAUGUGAUGGGCACAAAAAUAACAUUUACAUGUGCUCAAAAAAAUAAGAAAUAAGAUACUUUUAUAAACUGAGUUCAAUAUAAGAAUAGACUCGGUUCAGUCUCUUCUGUGUCACUCACCCUGUGUUUACAGUAACUGCUCCUGCAAUUUUCUGGAUGAAAACUUCCAUCCAGAUACAUCUAAGGCCAUUAAUAAGUCUGCACGAUGCAUCUGAUUGCAAUGGGGAAUAGAAUUACACUGAUGAUGUCUAAGGAGAAAGAGAAUCUCUGCACUCAGUGUGAAUAAGGAGUAGCCAAUGCCUUGUUUUUUCAGAAAUAAAUAAUUAAAUUAAAUUGAAAACAACAGCCAAUCUAUAAGAAUAAUCACUAAGAGUUUGAAAGCCCUGUAUUUUUUCCUAACAGUGCACUUAUAGUAGGCUAUUACUGAGUACAAAAAGUAAAAUAACUGUAAUAUUUACUGUAUGAAUAUCCCAAGGGAAAAAAACUUAGUAGCAUAAGUUGUUUCAUCUUUUUAGAGGUACAGCAGAUAGAGUGUUCAUAACAGGAACACCCUGUUACCUCAACUGUGAAAGGUUCUGGGAAUCUAAUGACCAACAGACUGGAAUUUAAAUUUAUUUUUGUUUGGUUUGUAUUUCAGUGAGCAUUUGAAAGACCCACCAGUUUAUCUUUGUCAGAGAUUAUUUUUCUUUUGGCUUAGCUUAGACACCAAUCUCACUGUUGAGUUUACAUUUAUGGAGCAGGACCUGGGGUUUUCUCCAUGUGUUCAGCAUUAUGAUUCUGACUUUGCAGAUCUCGUUGCUUGGGAUAGUUGCAAAAGUCAUGUCUGCUUAUACAGCAACAACAGAACUGGGGUUCAGAUGCUGCUGAUUAGUCAAUUGAGAAGGAACAAAAUUAGUUUUGAAGGCUGCCACUUUUCUUGGCUGGUGUGCAGAAGAGUUGGUAAAAGCUGCAAAGACAACUGAGUACCCUGAUGACAGUAUUUAUUAUACAUUUUAUUUCAUAAGUGGAUUUUUAGAAAUAAUUUAUUUUGUUAUUUUGCUCUGCUUUAGCAAAUCAUGUGUGACUGUACUUGUUUUUCCACAAUGCCUGUUUUAGUUGUUUUCGUUGCCAUUUGUUCUCACUCCGUGUAGUACCGUCCACAAGGUGGUGCCACAGCUAAGAAGUUAGCAAUAAAUAAGACAAAUAUAAUUUGCUAAUUCUACCUGCUUUUUGCAACUAACUAAAGUAUCUGCACCUUUAAAGAAUUAAUAAUUUUUUUCAUAAGCAUAGUAUCACAGGUUUGCAAGUUUUUGUUUUAAACCCCUUGUGUGUCUGCCUGCUGAGUGGGAGCAGCACCCACAGACCUGUGUCCAUCCCAGAUCAUGUACAAAAAUGAAAAGACAGCUCAGGGUUAAGCAGACAGACUGAUGAAGAGCUGUGUGUGUUCAGGCAGGGUUAUCCAUGCUGUGCCCCAUGGAUGUGCCCUAUACAUAUGUAGAUCACUUCAGCAAUACCCCAGGAGUCAGCCCAAAUCCUGACAAGCAGAAUAGUUCGUCUGCAACUUCAGCUUCCAUGCACUUACCCUGGUGUGGCUGUGGCACAUCAAACCCUAAUUUUCCAAGUUUUUCUACAGCAAGGGAUAGCCAAACUCCCUGUCUUAUGAUAAUGUACAGUUGACUUAAUUCCAAAGGGGUAUGAAGUGCUUACAGAGGGCCCUGCUAUGAGAGCAGCUGGGUUAAUGUAUACAGGUAAAUUCAGUAGUAUUUUUCCUUCAAUCAUAGUUAAAAAGGCAGCCAUCCCAAACUGUGUUCAGCACAAGUGAUCAAGUUUAUGAGCAUCUUUCAAUACAAGAUCAGACUAGAAAAAGUAAAAGGCAAUAACAGGGAACAUAAGAUGUGAAAUGUACCACCCAAUACAGAAAAGGCAAUAAAACUUACAGGAAAAAUUUGUUUGAAUGGGUCUGAAUGACUGCACUGUUUUAUAGCAGGCCUGUAUGUCCCUGAAGAGCUGAAGUGCAGAAGGCCUUGGUCAUUUCUCCCUGAAUGUGUGUGUUAGUUCUUCAGCUACCCUUGGCCACAAGGCCGUGGUUGCUUCUUGCACACCUGCCCUGCUCCCCUCAGUGACCUCUGCAAUACAGAUAUUUUACAUAGAGAAGAAAUUAUGCUCUAUUCUGAAGGGAAUGACAGAGCAUCUGAGAUCAUACAUUUAAGUCUCUGCUUUAUGUAAACCUCAGUACGGACAUUAUUCUGAGAUCAAGAAGGAGACAAUACAUUGCCAUCUGAAAGCACAAGAAAGAUCAAAAUAAGUUUUCAAUGUGUCACCGAAACCACAGUGCUAGGUUUCUGUUAAGGAGAAUGAGUAAUACCAUUCUAGCUGUGAAGAAUGCUGUGAGUGGGUAAUAAUUCCAUCUAACUGAUAGGGCAGAUUUUCUGCAAGAAAAUAAAUUAUCCCAACUAAAAUAUUGCCCUAUUUCUUCAGCUCACUGAGAAAGGCCACUCACCAUACCCAUUUAGCUGCUUGUCUAACAUUAGGAUAUCCUCCAUCCAACAUUCCCAACCCAAUCUUGCAAUUCAGGAACAGACUGGCUCCAACCCUGGCCUGGACCACAGCUAAAUCUAUAUCCAUGCUUGUAAUACUGUUGCAGAUCAAUAAUUCAAUGCUAUACUGUAUAAAUUGGUUUGUUGAAAUGAUAGUUAUGAAUGAAGUUCUAAAAAGACACUGCAACAUAUAAUAAAGGACUGACCUACUGACAGUUCUAAUGGGGAUGUGAUUAACAUAUACAUAAAAUAGCCCAAAGCCCAAUGACUUGCUUCAUGAUUUCAUGAAAAACUUUUUAUUGUUUUCUAUCUAUAUUAUUUAACAUUAAGAAUACAUUUGUCUUUAUAAAUUUAUAAAUGCUACUGAUCUGAUAUUUUUGUGCUGGCAGUCUUAACACUGAACAAAAGUAUAGUUUUGUCAGACCUCAUAUGCACAAAAAUUUUAAAUAAUAAUGUUGCUGAUGCCUCAUAAUAUGCCUUUGCAUUAUGGCAGUCUCAUUAUAAUAUUCUUUUGGAAAUGUAACCUGCUUAGGUAAGCUUUGAUUUACAAGAUAAUAUUAAGACAUGUUUAAUUUUAAGUAUGAUCUUUACUAUUUUCCUGAACAGGAAUAUCUGUCCUUAGUUUAAACUUCUAAUAUCCUGUUUAACAAGGAAACAGCUUCAAUCGUACUAAAAGUGCUUAAUGUUAAGAAAGUUUUCACAUUUGGUUGCUGGGAUUAGGGCUUUAAAAACAAAGGUCAGGUGAAGAUGCCUUCUUGGAAUACACUAGGAUAUAAGCCUCUAUUUUUGUUUGUAGUUCAUAAAUCUACAUAUUACAUAAACCAGUAAUAACUUUAAUAUAAUUAUAUUUGUAUUUGUGUGAGUGACUGGAGUUGAACAGCACACCUACAUGGCUGCAGCAUAUGUGAAUCUUCCUGCAGUACAUUCUGGUGUUGGCUUUCAUUAGACAGUAAGAAAUGUUGCCUGCAAAAAUAUCUCACAGCUUCAAAAGGAGACUAAUGUCUGUCUUUUUCACAUGGGAAAUGUAUUUCAUCAUCCCUCACGUGACAUCGAAAUCAGGUCUGUGGAAAUGAAAAUACCAGGCUCUGCACACCAUAGGAUUUGUAAUUAGCUUGAGAUAUCCCAGAGAAAAUUCUGUAAGUUACUUUAGUCUCUUUAUUUUGUCUUGUCUCAGAUCUGUCUGAUUUUGUUUGAGUUUAUGAGUAAUUUUUGGUGGAAAUGUCUGUGUUGCAAUUGAAAUGCUCUAACAAGUCCUCAUCACUAAAAUGCACUGAGUUCUUUUACUUCUGAGGAGCCAUGUGGAGUCCUGGAGUCCUUGUGGCUGUUGGGGAACUCAGGAGCUUCCUGGUCUCACUUCAGCCAUAUGACAGAACCCCAAAAACACCUGGGAUGUCUUUAGGUCUUAAAUAUUUAAUUUAAAUGUCUAAAAGGUAAGAGUUUCUUAAGCAUCAUAAGACAUGAGAGUUAACAGAUCAGCCUGAGCCAUGCCUCUUGCAUUUACUUUUUCAAUAAAGUUGUCAGGAUGCUGCCCAGCCAGGCUGCCAGAUGUGCUCUCCAUGUUUGGGUAAGUAAUCACUUGGUCCUGGGAUCUUCUGCACAAGCUAUGCCUGAACCCACUGCAGUUAUUUUAGGUGACACACUAAAGUGGUCAGCAUAAACUGAGAAGACUUUGUCCAGCACUUUGUCAGCAUGCCAGAAGAAAUUCCUUGGGAUUCAGAGUCUAAGAUUUCAUUUCAGUUAAUUGUCAGGAUGAUGAAUAUUAUUUAUUCCACACU